This is a long non-coding RNA of Alosa sapidissima (American shad), 170 nucleotides long. RefSeq lists it as uncharacterized. The record is from RefSeq and is a predicted model, not a curated record. NCBI's taxonomy places the organism in Eukaryota, Metazoa, Chordata, Actinopteri, Clupeiformes, Clupeidae. The transcript has 3 exons.
AGAAUCCUUGAACAUUCCGCCAUUCAUUUCAAUGGGGCCCAAAAACGCCGAAAAACGGGAAUACCGCGAAAACUACAAGGGCCAGCGCCACGAAAGUAACAAGCAAGUUACACCGGUUCGGGCCUGAAUUUUUGAAGUUCAAACUGCGUCGAUAGCUCAAACGGUCUAGG